GGGCUUAACACAUGCAAGUCGAGGGGCAGCAUGGUCUUUUCUUGCUAAGGCCGAUGGCGACCGGCGCACGGGUGAGUAACGCGUAUCCAACCUGCCUUACACUCUUGGACAGCCUUCUGAAAGGGAGAUUAAUACGAGAUGUUAUCAUGAGUAAGCAUUUUCGCAUGAUUAAAGGUUUACCGGUGUAAGAUGGGGAUGCGUUCCAUUAGAUAGUAGGCGGGGUAACGGCCCACCUAGUCUUCGAUGGAUAGGGGUACUGAGAGGAAGGUCCCCCACAUUGAAACUGAGACACGGUCCAAACUCCUACGGGAGGCAACAAUGAGGAAUAUUGGUCAAUGGACGAAAGUCUGAACCAGCCAAGUAGCGUGAAGGAUGAAGGUUCUAUGGAUUGCAAACUUCUUUUAUACGGGAAUGAACGGAUCCACGUGUGGAUUUUUGCAUGUACCAAAUAAAUAAUGAUCCCCUAACUCCGUGCCAGCAACCGCGGUAAAACGGAGGAUCCGAGCGAUAUCCGGAUUUAUUGGGAUUAAAGGGAGAGUAUAUGGUUUGUUAAGUACAGUUGUGAAAGUUUGCGGCUCAACCGUAAAAUUGCAAUUGAUACUGGCAGUCUUGAGUACAGUUGAGGUAGGCGGAAUUCGUGGUGUAGCGGUGAAAUGCUUAGAUAUCACGAAGAACUCCGAUUGCGAAGGCAGCUUACUAACCUGUAACUGACAUUGAUGCUCGAAAGUGUGGGUAUCAAACAGGAUUAGAUACCCUGGUAGUCCACACGGUAAACGAUGAAUACUCGCUGUAGGCGAUAUACAGUCUGCGGCCAAGCGAAAGCAUUAAGUAUUCCACCUGGGGAGUACGCCGGCAACGGUGAAACUCAAAGGAAUUGACGGGGGCCCGCACAAGCGGAGGAACAUGUGGUUUAAUUCGAUGAUACGCGAGGAACCUUACCCGGGCUUAAAUUGCUACCGAAUAUGGCGGAAACGCUAUAGCUAGCAAUAGCGGUUGUGAAGGUGCUGCAUGGUUGUCGUCAGCUCGUGCCGUGAGGUGUCGGCUUAAGUGCCAUAACGAGCGCAACCCUUGCCGAUAGUUACUAACAGGUUAUGCUGAGGACUCUGUCGGGACUGCCAUCGUAAGAUGUGAGGAAGGUGGGGAUGACGUCAAAUCAGCACGGCCCUUACGUCCGGGGCUACACACGUGUUACAAUGGGGGGUACAGAGGGCUGCUACCACGCAAGUGGAUGCCAAUCCCAAAAACCUCUCUCAGUUCGGAUUGAAGUCUGCAACCCGACUUCAUGAAGCUGGAUUCGCUAGUAAUCGCGCAUCAGCCACGGCGCGGUGAAUACGUUCCCGGGCCUUGUACACACCGCCCGUCAAGCCAUGGGAGCCGGGGGUACCUGAAGUGCGUAACCGCAAGGAGCGCCCUAGGGUAAAACUGGUGACUGGGGC
Molecule: ribosomal RNA, 1436 nt
Filed under: uncultured organism
Description: 16S ribosomal RNA
Rfam family: Bacterial small subunit ribosomal RNA
Source: RNAcentral